GACGAACGCUGGCGGCGUGCUUAACACAUGCAAGUCGAACGGAAAGGCCCUGCUUGCAGGGUACUCGAGUGGCGAACGGGUGAGUAACACGUGGGUGAUCUGCCCUGCACUUCGGGAUAAGCCUGGGAAACUGGGUCUAAUACCGGAUAGGAGCCAUUCUUAGUGUGAUGGUUGGAAAGUUUUUUCGGUGUAGGAUGAGCUCGCGGCCUAUCAGCUUGUUGGUGGGGUAAUGGCCUACCAAGGCGGCCACGGGUAGCCGGCCUGAGAGGGUGGACGGCCACAAUGGGACUGAGAUACGGGCCAGACUCCUACGGGAGGCAGCAGGGGGGAAUAUUGCACAAUGGGCGCAAGCCUGAUGCAACGACGCCGCGGUGGGGAUGACGGCCUUCGGGGUGUAAACUCCUUUCGCUAGGGACGAAGCUUUUUGUGACGGUACCUAGAUAAGAAGCACCGGCUAACUACGUG
Molecule: ribosomal RNA, 465 nt
Filed under: uncultured bacterium
Lineage: Bacteria
Description: partial 16S ribosomal RNA
Rfam family: Bacterial small subunit ribosomal RNA
Source: RNAcentral